CGAUGGGAAACGGGUUAAUAUUCCCGUACUUGGUGUUACUGCGAAGGGGGGACGGAGAAGGCUAUGUUGGCCGGGCGACGGUUGUCCCGGUUUAAGCGUGUAGGUGUGUGUUCCAGGUAAAUCCGGUUCACUUUAACACUGAGGCGUGACGACGAGGCACUACGGUGCUGAAGCAACAAAUGCCCUGCUUCCAGGAAAAGCCUCUAAGCAUCAGGUAACAUCAAAUCGUACCCCAAACCGACACAGGUGGUCAGGUAGAGAAUACCAAGGCGCUUGAGAGAACUCGGGUGAAGGAACUAGGCAAAAUGGUGCCGUAACUUCGGGAGAAGGCACGCUGACACGUAGGUGAAGUGAUUUACUCAUGGAGCUGAAGUCAGUCGAAGAUACCAGCUGGCUGCAACUGUUUAUUAAAAACACAGCACUGUGCAAACACGAAAGUGGACGUAUACGGUGUGACGCCUGCCCGGUGCCGGAAGGUUAAUUGAUGGGGUCAGCGCAAGCGAAGCUCCUGAUCGAAGCCCCGGUAAACGGCGGCCGUAACUAUAACGGUCCUAAGGUAGCGAAAUUCCUUGUCGGGUAAGUUCCGACCUGCACGAAUGGCGUAAUGAUGGCCAGGCUGUCUCCACCCGAGACUCAGUGAAAUUGAACUCGCUGUGAAGAUGCAGUGUACCCGCGGCAAGACGGAAAGACCCCGUGAACCUUUACUAUAGCUUGACACUGAACAUUGAGCCUUGAUGUGUAGGAUAGGUGGGAGGCUUUGAAGUGUGGACGCCAGUCUGCAUGGAGCCGACCUUGAAAUACCACCCUUUAAUGUUUGAUGUUCUAACGUGGACCCGUUACCCGGGUUGCGGACAGUGUCUGGUGGGUAGUUUGACUGGGGCGGUCUCCUCCUAAAGAGUAACGGAGGAGCACGAAGGUUGGCUAAUCCUGGUCGGACAUCAGGAGGUUAGUGCAAUGGCAUAAGCCAGCUUGACUGCGAGCGUGACGGCGCGAGCAGGUGCGAAAGCAGGUCAUAGUGAUCCGGUGGUUCUGAAUGGAAGGGCCAUCGCUCAACGGAUAAAAGGUACUCCGGGGAUAACAGGCUGAUACCGCCCAAGAGUUCAUAUCGACGGCGGUGUUUGGCACCUCGAUGUCGGCUCAUCACAUCCUGGGGCUGAAGUAGGUCCCAAGGGUAUGGCUGUUCGCCAUUUAAAGUGGUACGCGAGCUGGGUUUAGAACGUCGUGAGACAGUUCGGUCCCUAUCUGCCGUGGGCGCUGGAGAACUGAGGGGGGCUGCUCCUAGUACGAGAGGACCGGAGUGGACGCAUCACUGGUGUUCGGGUUGUCAUGCCAAUGGCACUGCCCGGUAGCUAAAUGCGGAAGAGAUAAGUGCUGAAAGCAUCUAAGCACGAAACUUGCCCCGA
This 1403-nucleotide ribosomal RNA is filed under the name Salmonella enterica. RNAcentral describes it as "partial 23S ribosomal RNA". It matches the Rfam family "Bacterial large subunit ribosomal RNA", at positions 1416 to 2802 of the family's 2925-position model. Lineage: Bacteria; Pseudomonadati; Pseudomonadota; Gammaproteobacteria; Enterobacterales; Enterobacteriaceae. The record is from RNAcentral.